This 298-nucleotide RNase P RNA is filed under the name Candidatus Poseidoniaceae archaeon. RNAcentral's name for it is "RNase P RNA component". It matches the Rfam family "Archaeal RNase P". Rfam says of the family: Ribonuclease P (RNase P) is a ubiquitous endoribonuclease, found in archaea, bacteria and eukarya as well as chloroplasts and mitochondria. The record is from RNAcentral. Lineage: Archaea; Methanobacteriati; Thermoplasmatota; Candidatus Poseidoniia; Candidatus Poseidoniales; Candidatus Poseidoniaceae.
GGGAGCAGGAGGACCGCUGACAGGGUUGGACCCUGAGGAAAGUCCCCUCUCCAUAGUGCGAGCGGCCCGGGAUGAUCCGGGUGUCCGGGAGGGCAGGCACUGCAGCAGAAACGAACGGCAAUGGGUGUGUACAAUGAUGUCGCAAGACGGAGAUUGCCCAACUGUCGAUGAAACGAGCACCCCCGCUGGAGCAAGUCCAAACAGGCCCUUUGAUGCUGCACGCGUAGGGCCGGGUAGGACGCAUAGUUGAAUGCGGUCAGCCGAUAGGUCAACAGAAAGGGGCUUACUCCCUGCUCCC